Molecule: ribosomal RNA, 654 nt
Filed under: Zetaproteobacteria bacterium S1OctC
Lineage: Bacteria; Pseudomonadati; Pseudomonadota; Candidatius Mariprofundia
Description: bacterial SSU rRNA
Rfam family: Bacterial small subunit ribosomal RNA
Source: RNAcentral
UAGAGUUUGAUCAUGGCUCAGAACGAACGCUGGCGGCGUGCCUAACACAUGCAAGUCGAACGGACUUUAUUUCUUCGGAUUUAAAGUUAGUGGCGCACGGGUGAGUAACGCGUGGAUAUCUGCCUAUUAGUGGGGGACAACUUGGAGAAAUCCAAGCUAAUACCGCAUACGCACUACGGUGGAAAGCAGGGGACCUUCGGGCCUUGUGCUGAUAGAUGAGUCCGCGUCUGAUUAGCUAGUUGGUAAGGUAAUGGCUUACCAAGGCGAUGAUCAGUAACUGGUUUGAGAGGAUGAUCAGUCACACUGGAACUGAGACACGGUCCAGACUUCUACGGAAGGCAGCAGUGGGGAAUAUUGCACAAUGGGCGAAAGCCUGAUGCAGCGACGCCGCGUGCGGGAAGAAGGCCUUCGGGUUGUAAACCGCUUUCAAUUGGGAAGAAGAGAUGAGCGUUAAUAUCGCUCUGAUUUGACGGUACCUUUAGAAGAAGCACCGGCUAAUUUCGUGCCAGCAGCCGCGGUAAUACGAAAGGUGCAAGCGUUGUUCGGAUUUACUGGGCGUAAAGAGAUCGUAGGUGGUUUGUUAAGUCGGAUGUGAAAUCCCAAGGCUCAACCUUGGAACUGCAUUCGAUACUGGCAGGCUAGAGUUUGGGAGGG